UGGGGUAUAGCCAAGCGGUAAGGCAACGGGUUUUGAUCCCGUCAUGCGUAGGUUCGAAUCCUUCUACCCCAG
Non-coding RNA from Marinomonas sp. MWYL1, 72 nucleotides. The record is from Rfam. NCBI's taxonomy places the organism in Bacteria, Pseudomonadati, Pseudomonadota, Gammaproteobacteria, Oceanospirillales, Oceanospirillaceae.